AUGGUUUCAAUACCAAUUUUACAGUUGAAUAUACAUUCAACAUGACCAUUGCACAUAGUCUAAGUAUUAAUUAUUAAUCUAUCAUUUUUCAGAUACCAAUAAAACUAGUAGCUACUACUAAUGGUAUGUGACUGUGAGCUGUCAUCUACUAUUUCUUGACAAAAUGGUUUCAAGAUUGAAGAGUACCAAUAACUCCUCCUCCAACCCUUUUCUUUUGUCCAGAAAACAAAAUCUGAUUGUUCAAAUUACUCCAUUCUUUAUUGAGUAUUUAUAAUAACCCAUUUGUAAUUUUCUCCAUUCUUUAUUGCGUUUCUUGUUUGCAUGUUGAAUGUUUCUUUCUUCUCCAAAAUUCAACAAAACUACUAGCAGAUUUCAAGAUUAAAGAGACCUACCAUUGCUAUUUGUUUUAACAGUGAAAUCUCUUGCAAAAUGAAGCUGAGUUAGAAUCCUCUUUAGAUGUUUUCAUCUUUACAUCUCUAAACUCACUCUUCUUUUUAACCUUUUUCUUCUUCUUGUUUUGUCAUUCAUCUCUCUGAUGCUGAAGCUUAAAAUGGUCUUGUGUUACCCGAAUAGAUCCGUUCGAUUUAACCGACACCCGAUCUGUCCGCCACCCGACAAAACCGUGCUAGUAAUCGGUCGGUGAUGGGUGGGAUUUUUCCUUCAUUGGUUAUUGUCGGUUUUGAAGNNNNNNNNNNNNNNNNNNNNNNNNNNNNNNNNGGCCGUAACCGACCGAUGCACAGCCCUAGCUACAACACACUCUUCUCUUUGUUUCUUUUCUUUUUGUUGUAAAUCUGGAUCUGAUUCAAGUAAUAAUAGGGUACAACACAAUCUUACAUCUCGCACAAUCAAAUCAUUGAUUAAAAAAAAAGUCAAUGAUAUUCGAAACAAGUGAUCACGUUUGUAUGCAUUCACAU
RNAcentral lists this long non-coding RNA (914 nucleotides) under Trifolium pratense (red clover). RNAcentral's name for it is "long non-coding RNA (TPRA_LNC006167)". Lineage: Eukaryota; Viridiplantae; Streptophyta; Magnoliopsida; Fabales; Fabaceae. The record is from RNAcentral.